This 229-nucleotide ribosomal RNA is filed under the name Burkholderia sp. AU33803. RNAcentral's name for it is "partial 23S ribosomal RNA". It matches the Rfam family "Bacterial large subunit ribosomal RNA", at positions 1 to 226 of the family's 2925-position model. The record is from RNAcentral. Lineage: Bacteria; Pseudomonadati; Pseudomonadota; Betaproteobacteria; Burkholderiales; Burkholderiaceae.
GUUAUAGGGUCAAGCGAACAAGUGCAUGUGGUGGAUGCCUUGGCGAUCACAGGCGAUGAAGGACGCGGUAGCCUGCGAAAAGCUACGGGGAGCUGGCAAACAAGCUUUGAUCCGUAGAUGUCCGAAUGGGGAAACCCACUCCUUUUGGAGUAUCCAUGGCUGAAUACAUAGGCCAUGCGAAGCGAACGCGGUGAACUGAAACAUCUAAGUAACCGCAGGAAAAGAAAUC